GUGUAGUAACCCAGAAACCCAGAGAUAAAGGUCCAGAGGGAAGGAAGCACGAAACUCUCGACGUUUUCAGUACGCCCGAGGGAAGCCGUGUGAAAGGCUCCCAACCGGAGAAUGAAGAUCACUGAGUUCCAGAAACAUUUAAGAAAGUUUGGGGAUUAUUGGACUCAGAAGCUGGUGGCAGACUGCCUUGUACACAUCAGUCCCCUCUGCUUCUUAGCCAUAGUCACACUGCGUGCUCGCCUUGGAAUGAUGUCCAGGAAGCUCACUAUGUUUCCAGGAUUCACUUUCACGUCUUUAAAGCUGAUCUCUUCCCCUUCGAAGUGUGACAGGCCCGGUCUGGAUGAACGGGGCCCGCCUCCGGGACCACAAGUGCCUGCCCAUGGAGCUUCUAAGGAGGAUCCUGUCACCCUAGUGGACCACACCUCUGACCUCCAGAGACACAGAUGCCUGCCUGAAAGCCAACUUAAUCGUUCAUAA
Molecule: long non-coding RNA, 477 nt
Filed under: Felis catus (domestic cat)
Lineage: Eukaryota; Metazoa; Chordata; Mammalia; Carnivora; Felidae
Description: lncRNA (ENSFCAG00000048860.1)
Source: RNAcentral